Acidithiobacillales bacterium SM1_46 is the source of this 73-nucleotide non-coding RNA. NCBI's taxonomy places the organism in Bacteria, Pseudomonadati, Pseudomonadota, Acidithiobacillia, Acidithiobacillales. The record is from Rfam.
GCUCCCUUCGUCUAGUGGCCCAGGACGUCGCCCUCUCACGGCGAAAACAGGGGUUCGAGUCCCCUAGGGAGCG